Molecule: ribosomal RNA, 429 nt
Filed under: Bacteroidota bacterium
Lineage: Bacteria; Pseudomonadati; Bacteroidota
Description: Bacteroidetes bacterium partial 16S ribosomal RNA
Rfam family: Bacterial small subunit ribosomal RNA
Source: RNAcentral
UAGGGAAUCUUCCGCAAUGGACGCAAGUCUGACGGAGCAACGCCGCGUGAGUGAAGAAGGAUUUCGGUUCGUAAAACUCUGUUGUUAGAGAAGAACAGCGCAUAGAGUAACUGUUAUGCGUGUGACGGUAUCUAACCAGAAAGCCACGGCUAACUACGUGCCAGCAGCCGCGGUAAUACGUAGGUGGCAAGCGUUGUCCGGAUUUAUUGGGCGUAAAGCGAGCGCAGGCGGUCAAUUAAGUCUGAUGUGAAAGCCCCCGGCUCAACCGGGGAGGGUCAUUGGAAACUGGUUGACUUGAGUGCAGAAGAGGAGAGUGGAAUUCCAUGUGUAGCGGUGAAAUGCGUAGAUAUAUGGAGGAGCACCAGUGGCGAAGGCGACUCUCUGGUCUGUAACUGACGCUGAGGCUCGAAAGCGUGGGUAGCAAACAGG